Molecule: ribosomal RNA, 517 nt
Filed under: Metschnikowia reukaufii
Lineage: Eukaryota; Fungi; Ascomycota; Pichiomycetes; Serinales; Metschnikowiaceae
Description: partial large subunit ribosomal RNA
Rfam family: Eukaryotic large subunit ribosomal RNA
Source: RNAcentral
GCAUAUCAAUAAGCGGAGGAAAAGAAACCAACAGGGAUUGCCUCAGUAACGGCGAGUGAAGCGGCAAAAGCUCAAAUUUGAAAUCCUUCGGGAAUUGUAUUUUGAAGGUGGGUUUGGUUAGGAAAAGUUACUUUAAGUCCAUUGGAAAAUGGCGCCAUGGAGGGUGAUAGCCCCGUAAAAGUAUCCCUUUUCCUUUUAUCCAUUCCCUCCAAAGAGUCGAGUUGUUUGGGAAUGCAGCUCUAAGUGGGUGGUAAAUUCCAUCUAAAGCUAAAUAUUGGCGAGAGACCGAUAGCGAACAAGUACAGUGAUGGAAAGAUGAAAAGCACUUUGAAAAGAGAGUGAAAAAGUACGUGAAAUUGUUGAAAGGGAAGGGCUUGCAAGCAGACACAACCUCGGUUGGGCCAGCAUCGGAGUGGGGGGAGACAAAAAAGAAAAGGAAUGUAACUCUUUCGAGUAUUAUAGCCUUUUCUCAUAUCUCCACCCCCUUCCGAGGCCUGCGAUUCUUCAAGGAUGCUGG